This 68-nucleotide transfer RNA is filed under the name Marmota monax (woodchuck). RNAcentral's name for it is "tRNA.Ala". The record is from RNAcentral. Lineage: Eukaryota; Metazoa; Chordata; Mammalia; Rodentia; Sciuridae.
GGAUUGUGGCUCAGUGGUAGAGCGCUUGCCUAGCAUGUGCAAGGUACUGGGUUCCAUUCUCAGCACCA